GAUGAACGCUGGCGGCGUGCCUAAUACAUGCAAGUCGAGCGAACAGACGAGGAGCUUGCUCCUCUGACGUUAGCGGCGGACGGGUGAGUAACACGUGGAUAACCUACCUAUAAGACUGGUAUAACUUCGGGAAACCGGAGCUAAUACCGGAUAAUAUAUUGAACCGUAUGGUUCAAUAGUGAAAGACGGUUUUGCUGUCACUUAUAGAUGGAUCCGCGCCGCAUUAGCUAGUUGGUAAGGUAACGGCUUACCAAGGCAACGAUGCGUAGCCGACCUGAGAGGGUGAUCGGCCACACUGGAACUGAGACACGGUCCAGACUCCUACGGGAGGCAGCAGAAGGGAAUCUUCCGCAAUGGGCGAAAGCCUGACGGAGCAACGCCGCGUGAGUGAUGAAGGUCUUCGGAUCGUAAAACUCUGUUAUUAGGGAAGAACAAAUGUGUAAGUAACUGUGCACGUCUUGACGGUACCUAAUCAGAAAGCCACGGCUAACUACGUG
Molecule: ribosomal RNA, 497 nt
Filed under: uncultured bacterium
Lineage: Bacteria
Description: partial 16S ribosomal RNA
Rfam family: Bacterial small subunit ribosomal RNA
Source: RNAcentral